Molecule: small nuclear RNA, 22 nt
Filed under: Arabidopsis thaliana (thale cress)
Lineage: Eukaryota; Viridiplantae; Streptophyta; Magnoliopsida; Brassicales; Brassicaceae
Description: snRNA_16484
Source: RNAcentral
AAAUUGCAAAAAUGAUCGACUU